This 250-nucleotide unclassified non-coding RNA is filed under the name Hevea brasiliensis (rubber tree). The record is from RNAcentral. Lineage: Eukaryota; Viridiplantae; Streptophyta; Magnoliopsida; Malpighiales; Euphorbiaceae.
GAAACAGUAUCGAGAAACAAGAAUCUUAGAAGACAUAAGUCACAGGUAAUUGUGUGUAAAACAAUCAAAAUUUGAGACCAUAGAUCAUGAAUUGUUUAUACAACACCGCACAAGUUUUUCUUUCUUAUGGUUGCCAGCUUGAGUUCUUGGGACAUAUUUUGGAGUAUGAGGGAACGAUUAAGGAGAACUCACAAACCAUGCACUUCAAGCUUUGGACGAUGAUGUCUCUCACCAUGAAUCACCAUGUCCG